Scatophagus argus is the source of this 604-nucleotide long non-coding RNA. RefSeq lists it as uncharacterized. The record is from RefSeq and is a predicted model, not a curated record. The transcript has 3 exons. Lineage: Eukaryota; Metazoa; Chordata; Actinopteri; Scatophagidae.
GGUAAGAUUUAGGUAUUCCUACUACAACAACGUUACAGCUAAUGACACUGAUCUCGCUACUCUGAUGAUCGACGCGGAAGAGGACGAUGUCCUAUGAGUACAGCAAGUCAUCUCUUUUGAUUUCCGCUGCUGGGCAACACUGUCUCUACGUACAGUCUUUUUAUAUUAAAUGCAUUUUUGUCACUCAAUUGUUUCUUUUAGCAGUUGGCUUGCAAGCUAGUCAUGCUCCACUAGCAUGGAAGCUUUAGUUAGUUAUCUAUCCUGACUUUCGGGUGUUAGUUUGCAGAGGUUACACUAGCAGUAGCUCGCUAAUCAAUCUAGUAAUGUCAGGGAAGGCAAAUGAGCAUUCUUUCAUGCUUCCCUCAGAAGGAUCAGCUCCCUAAAAAGGUGGCCAGGUUAGAGAAGGAGACAGCUAGGCCAAGAAGUCCAGGACAUCCCCUACAAGGACCCACUAAACCAACUGCCAGGAGAAAAGCUAAAUGUUGGCUUCACCACCGGAGCUACCCUCAACCUGCUCCUUGAGGGACAGGACAUGGAUAUCCCCAUGCCCCAAGAUCCCACCACCUUUAAAAUUGAAUUGAAUAAAUAUUUUUAUUUGUGUGAA